CUGUAGUGCCUGUUUAGUGUCAUCCAGGACUUGUGUACUUCUCGCGAAAUACGGGAAGCUGACGCACUCAUCGCGAGACGAAGCUGGGCGUGGUUUUACAUCAGCAUCCUAUGCACGAGUUUCUUGAACUGCUUGGUCUGUACGCACUGUCGUCCAAAGUGUGGCGGAGUGAAUGUCAUGGGGAAAGCCAAGCGGACUGGGGCGCGGAGGCAGGUCCACAAAGCGCCCGCAGGGGCGUCCGGAGGCCCGGCGAAAACUAACCCAAACCCAUUUGAAGUGAAAGUCAACCGGCAGAAGUUCCAGAUCCUUGGCAGGAAGACGCGCCACGAUGUGGGCCUGCCCGGGGUGUCCCGCGCUCGUGCCAUCAGGAAGAGAACCCAAACUUUACUAAAGGAGUACAAAGAAAGGAACAAGUCCAAUGUGUUCGCAGACAAACGCUUUGGGGAGUAUAAUAGCAACAUAAGCCCAGAGGAAAAGAUGAUGAAGAGAUUUGCUCUGGAGCAACAGCGAUAUCAUGAGAAAAAGAACAUCUACAACCUAAAUGAAGAUGAAGAAUUGACUCAUUAUGGCCAGUCCUUGGCUGACAUUGAAAAGCAUAAUGACAUUGUGGACAGUGACAGUGAUACUGAAGACCGGGGGGCAUUGUCAGCUGAACUGACUGCUUCCCACUUUGGUGGUGGGGUCCACAAGAACAGCUCUCAGAAGGAGGGCGAGGAUGGAGACAAGCCAAAGACACGGAAGGAACUGAUUGAGGAGCUCAUUGCAAAGUCAAAGCAAGAGAAGAGGGAAAGACAGGCUCAGCGAGAAGAUGCCCUUGAGCUCACAGAGAAGCUGGACCAAGACUGGAAAGAAAUACAGAUUCUCAUGUCACGAAAACCUAAGAAGUCAGAAGACAAAGAGAAAAAGGAAAAACCCCAGCCCGAUGAAUAUGACAUGAUGGUUCGUGAGCUUGGCUUUGAAAUGAAGGCUCAGCCCUCUAACAGGAUGAAAACAGAAGAGGAACUAGCAAAGGAGGAGCAAGAGAGGCUCAAGAAGCUGGAGGCUGAAAGACUUCGAAGAAUGCUUGGAAAAGAUGAACAUGAAAAUAAAAAGAAACCAAAACAUACAUCAGCAGAUGAUUUAAAUGAUGGCUUUAUACUGGAUAAAGACGAUAGGCGCUUGCUUUCUUACAAGGAUGGGAAGAUGAACAUUGAAGAUGUCCAGGAAGAGCAAAGCAAGGAAGCAGAUGGGCAAGAGAAUGACCAGAAAGAGGGAGAAGAUGACAGUGAGGAAGAGGAUGAGAGCCAUGAGGACUCAGAAGAGAGUGAGGACCCAGACAGCCACUCAGACCUAGAAUCUAAUAUAGAGAGUGAGGAGGAAAACGAGACACCGAAGAAGGAGCAACGUCAGACUCCUGGGGGGAAGUUGCCAAAGGAUGACCAGAAAGCUCAAAAGGCUGUUGCAGCUGAGCUGCCCUAUGUCUUUGCAGCUCCUGAAUCCUUUGAGGAGCUGAAGUUUUUAUUGUCAGGAAGAUCAAUGGAAGAGCAACUUUUGGUGGUGGAAAGAAUUCAGAAGUGCAACCAUCCAAGUCUUGCAGUAGGAAACAAAGCAAAAUUGGAAAAAUUGUUUGGCUUCCUCUUGCAAUACAUAGGAGAUUUGGCUACAGACAGCACACCAGACCUCAAGACCAUCGAUAAGUUGGUUGUGCACUUAUAUAGUCUUUGCCAGAUGUUUCCUGAGUCUGCAAGUGACUCCAUAAGAUUUGUUCUCCGAGAUGCCAUGCACGAGAUGGAAGAAAUGAUUGAGACCAAAGGCCGGGCAGCGUUUCCAGGGUUGGAUGUGCUCAUUUAUUUGAAAAUCACUGGGCUGUUGUUUCCAACCUCUGAUUUCUGGCAUCCAGUUGUGACUCCUGCCCUGCUGUGUAUGAGCCAGAUGCUUACUAAGUGUCCAGUCAUGUCCCUACAAGAUGUGAUAAAGGGCCUGUUUGUGUGCUGCUUAUUCCUGGAGUACGUGUCCCUGUCUCGGAGGUUCAUCCCCGAGCUAUUCAAUUUUCUACUUGGGAUUCUUUAUAUAGCAACUCCAAACACAAAGAGCCAAGAGCACUUGGGAAGAACUCGGAAUUGCUCGUGGUCUCCGACAAAGCAGAUGUGACCACCUGGCAGAGGGGAAGCCUCCCCUUGCACUGGGCAAAUAGACUGAGCACCCUGACAGCGACUGAGGCAAAUCACACCAGGCUGUCCUGCGUAGCCUCGUGUUUGAGCCUGAUGAAGCACUGCGUGCUCAUGUACCAGGCACUGCCGUCCUUCCACGCCAUCUUCAGGCCCCAUCAAGCCCUCCUGUCGAAGCAUCUUGCAGAUUGUAGCCUCCCCCAAGAACUUCAGGAGCUGGCUCAAAGCAUACUGUCAGCAAUGGAAGGCCAGAAGCAGCACUGCCGCCCGCUGGUGUGUGAGAAGAGCAAGCCCGUCCCACUGAAGCAGUUCACCCCCCGGCUAGUCAAAGUGCUUGAGUUUGGACGGAAACAAGGCAGCAGUAAAGAAGAACAGGAAAGGAAAAGACUAAUCCACAAACACAAGCGGGAAUUUAAAGGCGCCGUCCGAGAGAUCCGAAAGGACAAUCAGUUCCUGGCCAGGAUGCAGCUCUCAGAAAUCAUGGAAAGGGAUGCAGAAAGAAAGCGUAAAGUAAAACAGCUUUUUAAUAGCCUGGCCACGCAAGAAGGUGAAUGGAAGGCUCUUAAGAGGAAAAAGUUCAAAAAAUAAAUUGUCUUGUAAUGUA
RNA transcript from Mus musculus (house mouse), 2751 nucleotides. It is a transcript of the gene named NOP14 nucleolar protein, with no coding region annotated. The transcript has 18 exons. The record is from RefSeq and is marked validated. Lineage: Eukaryota; Metazoa; Chordata; Mammalia; Rodentia; Muridae.